This 74-nucleotide transfer RNA is filed under the name Amedibacillus dolichus. RNAcentral describes it as "tRNA-Thr". It matches the Rfam family "tRNA". From Rfam's summary of the family: Transfer RNA (tRNA) molecules are approximately 80 nucleotides in length. Their secondary structure includes four short double-helical elements and three loops (D, anti-codon, and T loops). Lineage: Bacteria; Bacillati; Bacillota; Erysipelotrichia; Erysipelotrichales; Erysipelotrichaceae. The record is from RNAcentral. RNAcentral also lists the same sequence under 8 other names.
GCCGGUAUAGUAUAGUGGUAAUACAAAGCAAUGGUAAUGCUUAGCGCUCAGUUCAAUUCUGGGUACCGGCACCA